GAUUCCCCGCCUGGAGCCGGAGGCCCCGCCCACCCGCGUCACGUGGCGGGGGCGCGCGCGCAGGUUGCGCGAUGGUGGCGGCGGCGCCCGGUGACGGCGGCGGCGGCAGCGGGUAGAAAAUGGCGGAGUUCGAGGAGCUACGGAAUAUGGUAUCAAGUUUUCGGGUUUCUGAACUACAAAUGUUGUUGGGGUUUGCUGGCCGUAAUAAAAGCGGGCGGAAACAUGACCUCCUGAUGAGGGCACUGCACUUAGUGAAGAGCGGCUGCAGCCCAGCAGUUCAGUUAAAAAUCCGAGAACUCUAUAGGUAUCGGUACCCAAGGCCAAUUGAAACACUUUCGGACUUAUCGGCUAUAAACCCUCCGGUUUUUGGUUUGGACAGUAGCUCCUCUCCUGUUGAGCCUGACCUGGCUGUUGCUGGCAUUCACCCACUCCCUUCCACUUCAGUCACCCCUCAGUCUCCUUCCUCGCCUGUCAGUUCUGUGCUCCUCCAAGACACUAAGCCCCACUUUGAGAUGCAGCAGCCAUCUUCUCCGAUUCCACCUGUUCAUCCCGACGUUCAGCUGAAGAGCCUCCCUUUUUAUGAUGUGCUUGACGUGCUCAUAAAACCUACAAGUCUAGUACAGAGCAGUAUUCAGAGGUUCCAAGAGAAGUUUUUUAUCUUUGCUUUGUCACCUCAGCAGGUCAGAGAAAUCUGUAUUUCCAGGGACUUCUUGCCCGGAGGCAGGAGAGAUUACACAGUUCAGGUUCAGCUAAGGUUAUGCCUAGCGGAGACAAGCUGCCCUCAAGAAGAUAAUUACCCUAAUAGUUUGUGUAUUAAAGUUAAUGGGAAGCUGUUUCCAUUGCCGGGAUACCCUCCACCACCAAAAAACGGAAUUGAACAGAAGCGACCUGGGCGCCCCUUGAAUAUAACGUCUCUAGUUAGGUUGUCGUCAGCAGUGCCAAACCAGAUUACCAUUUCCUGGGCUUCUGAAAUUGGAAAGAGUUACUCCAUGUCUGUGUAUCUUGUUCGUCAGCUCACUUCAGCUAUGCUUUUGCAGAGGCUAAAAAUGAAAGGUAUCAGAAACCCCGAUCAUUCCAGGGCACUAAUUAAAGAAAAACUAACUGCAGAUCCUGAUAGCGAGAUUGCCACAACCAGUCUGCGGGUUUCUCUGACGUGUCCUCUGGGGAAAAUGAGACUGACAAUCCCAUGCCGCGCUGUGACUUGCACACACCUGCAGUGUUUUGAUGCUGCUCUUUAUCUUCAAAUGAAUGAAAAGAAGCCUACAUGGAUCUGCCCUGUCUGUGACAAAAAGGCAGCUUAUGAGAGCCUAAUAUUAGAUGGGCUCUUUAUGGAAAUCCUUAACGAAUGUUCAGAUGUGGAUGAGAUCAAAUUCCAAGAAGACGGUUCCUGGUGCCCCAUGAGGCCAAAGAAAGAAGCUGUGAAAUUCUCAAGUCCACAGUGUGGCAAAAUAGAAAGUUCCAGUGUUGUUAGCAAACCCAGUUCUGUGACGGUGACCAGUGAGAUAAACAAGAAGAAAGUUGAUGUUAUUGACUUGACUAUAGAAAGCUCUUCUGAUGAAGAGGAAGAUCCUCCUGCCAAAAGGAAGUGCAUAUUUAUGUCUGAAACGCAAGGAAGCCCAACCAAAGGGGUUCUCAUGUAUCAGCCAUCCACUGUCAGAGGGCCCAGCGUGACAACGGUCGAUGCUGCUGCUAUUCCUCCUUCAUUAACAGACUACCCAGUACCAUUCCAUCACCCACCAAUGUCCAGUAUUUCAUCAGACUUGCCAGACACAAAACGGGGAUGAUAUUAGAAAUGUUUCCUUAUUGGCUGCCCGUGGGUGGAGGAAGAGACCUGCUGCUUGUUUUUGGACUUGUGCAUGUUGUGACUUUACUUCAUUCCAGCAUCUUUAAUGUGAUGACACUCUUCAUGUCCCAGUUUGGCCAAGUCAGGUCUGGAUUUUCUUUCGCUAAUCCCAGUCGAUUCACAGUACUGUCCUCCUAUGUUUUUGGAUAGUCUCACCUCAACCUUAACAAGCAGCACGCCUGGCAGCAUCAUCACCUCGACCAGUCACCACGAGAGCAGCACACACGUUAGCUCCUCGGGCAGGAGCGAGCCCGGGGUGAUCACCAGCGGCGGCAGCGCUCCCGACAUCAUCUCGCUGGACUGAAACACGGGGCAGCUUUUUGGGGACUCUAGGAGAAAUCACGUAGAGCUGCCGCCUCCCCUUUCUGGAACUUGGGCAUCUCGGAAGUUGUUCUGGUAUUUAUUGAGGGGAUUUGCCUUCUGGAAAAUGGAUUAAAUUCAUCUGCGUUAGGAACAGAAGUUAUAGAUUGUUCUAUUAUUAUCUUCCUCAUUAAAGAGCUGGUAUAGUCCCAUUCAGAACAUGCUUGUAUGCUUUUGGCUUGUUCUGAGGAAACUGACCUUUUAUUGCUGGGUGGAUUCCACAAAUGUUUUUUAAAUUUUGUUGUAAAACACAGCAAUAAUGUAAAAAAACCCAAACUUUUUCUAAAAUAAAAAGAGGCACUUAACUACUCUAGAACACCAACAACCUGGGCAAAAGUGCAAAAGUGUAUGCAUCGGUGAAUUUUUACUAUUUUCACUGAGGCUUGUAAUAGACUUCACUUAAGACAAUGAAGCUUUGUGAAGUGGCCAUGACUUUUGUUUUAUGUCUCUUGUUCUCCACUGCUCCUUUACUUGGGGAUGUGGGAGAGCCCUCUGUAAAUGGAAUUUUUUUUUUCUUUAAAUCCUGAUUUAAUACUUUUUCAUAAAUGCAACAACAUCCUAAGCUGUGACUUCUUCUUCUUCUUCUUUAUGUUCUUCAGGCUGGGGAAGGGACAAAUUAUCUAUGCAACCCCUGCAUCACACCAUCACUGUGCUGUCGUGUCAGAAUUAGGACAUCUCCCCACCACCAAAAAAUCCACACUAUGCACAGCUGAGUUUUAGUUGAGUUUCUGGCUUUGAUAACUUUGAGGUGACAAGGGGGAAAAAAAAGCCUUUAAACUCAAAUUUAGGUGAUAAGGUUCUUGGUGCCUCCACCAGAUGAGCAGGUGAAGAGCAGGAUUUCUGUGGCAGCUGUGAGGAGACAAGAAGGAGUUACUUUGUCCAGUGCAGGUUUAUUUUCUGUCACUUUGAUAACUGCUGUGUUCCUCUUGGGAAUACCGCGCUCUGAUGUGCCACAGGGGAUGCUUGGCUUUUUGGGAGACAAAAGCUGUAUCUGCAGAGUUCACACCUGACUGGAAUUAUGUGUUCAGGGCUUAACGAUGUUUUGUCCCACAUUAUGUGGCCUCUGAAUUAUGGAUUUUCCGAUCCACUGGGAGUAAACCCCUCCUGUUUUACUCCUCUGAGAAACCUGCUGCUUAGUCAUAUCUGGUGCUUUUUGCCUUCCGUUACUUUAUGGUGUUCGAACGAAGUACCUGGACAAGAAAUACUGAAGCAGGAUGUAUUGUAGCUCGUCUGCCCUGUACUCCCACCUCUAAUGCUGUGUUAUUAUUCCUCAUUGCCAUUUGUGUAUAAUCUUUCACUCCAGUCUUCAGUUCACAUGUUGGUCUUAAUAUUGCACCCCAUCUUUCUUCUGUUUUCCUUAUCUGUUGAAUUUUUUUGUACCUGUUAAGGAUCAGUUUUUAGCAUGACUUAUUUCCAAUAAAGCCAUGCUACUCCUGAAGCUUUUUUUCCUAAUGGCCUGUGGCAUAUCAGUGGUUUCUGCAUCACAGUUGCACAGUGACUUGAACGGUAAGAGUUGUUGUUCCAGAGUAAUUCUGAAUAAAGUGUUUAAAACUGC
This is an RNA transcript of Columba livia (rock pigeon), 3758 nucleotides long. It is a transcript of the gene named protein inhibitor of activated STAT 2, with no coding region annotated. The record is from RefSeq and is a predicted model, not a curated record. The transcript has 15 exons. Lineage: Eukaryota; Metazoa; Chordata; Aves; Columbiformes; Columbidae.